Long non-coding RNA from Numida meleagris (helmeted guineafowl), 7692 nucleotides. RefSeq lists it as uncharacterized. The record is from RefSeq and is a predicted model, not a curated record. NCBI's taxonomy places the organism in Eukaryota, Metazoa, Chordata, Aves, Galliformes, Numididae. The transcript is spliced from 8 exons.
GCAGCCGGAGGCGGUGCUGAGGGGAGUCGAGGAGGGAUGGAGGGCGGGUGAGCGAGGGUUUAAUUCGUCCGUGCUUCAGGUGGGCCGGGGGCUCCGCUCUUCACCGUAUGGGCUCUCGGCUCGGCGCGAAGGAGCGGGUAGCGCUGAGGCGGCGGGAAGGCGGCUUGCCCAGUCAGUCAGUCAGUCAGUCAGUCAGUCAGUCAGUCAGUCAGUCACCGUGCUCGUCAGCAGCUCUGCUUCACAGGGAAGAACUCCAGGGAGUUUUGCAGGAAAUGCUAGUGAUGCGUACAUGGCAACCAGCAGGUCAGGAGAGCCGGUAUAGAGAGGAAUGGGAGCAGCUGAAAAUAGCUGAAAACAAGAAAAGAACAGAAAAGGUGCGGGUGGACUCGCUGUGCCAUCUGAAGAUGUUUUGUUUAACUCAAAAUUAUCUGUUGCCUUUUAAUGGAAUCCUACCUGGGAGCUGAAACUGGACGUAGAGCUCAGAUCUGCCCGUCAGUGAACAAUGUGUUCCAGUGAUGAGGAAACCCUCCGCUGUCCGUGAAUGCAGGGAAAGAGUGCUCUGGAACUGCACUGUGUUCCUCCACCUCAAGUAAGAGCUGUUGCCUGCUACAGCAUCAGAUGUGAUGCCACUUUUUCCUAAGGAUCAUGCUGUGUUUUGAGUUUGCUUUGGUUGGGGAUGCAAGAAGUUGCCUGAGAGUUGUUCUCAGCCUCCUCCCGCACCGGGCUCUGCAGUCUCGUGGUGGCUCUGAUGACUUCACUCUCCUGCUGUGGCUCAGCACGACAGCCCGUAGCUGGUAAAUAAUGUGUCUAUAUGUAGAAUAACAGAACCAGCAAAGAACGGUAAGGAGAAGGUUUUGAAUAAGCGUCAACAACGUAGAACAGGUCAUUUCACUAGCAACUCAUGCUUUACAGCAGUUAAUUCUAUUCUAAAUGGAUAGAUUAAUAUUCCUAUACUCAAUAGUUGUAACUCAUUUAAUUCCUCUCUGGUUAACACAAGACAAACUGAUGUAUUUUGGGGAUAACAACUGGACCUAUAUUUUGCGUAGAAUUUUCAGUUCUCUAGUUUUGCUUUGAGAAGUUUUCAAUAUAGUCUAAAAUAUAUAAACUGGCUUAAAUCUUCUUACAUGAAAAUUUUCUAGAAUAUAUUUAACAAGUAAUGAUUUUAAGCAAGUGCUUCAUCGAAGCAUGACACGUGAUUUGCCAAACAGACUUAUGACUAAGCCAACACAUAGUUUGUUCAGUGGGACCAAAAUUUGUUCCAGUGUGAUUCAUCAAUGAGUAAGAACGAUGCUAUCUGGCAUUUUAAUCUAAGUGCAGAUUUGAAUAAUGACCUGGAUUUUUGGAGGAGCAGCUAGCUAAGCAAGAAAAGGAAAAGAAAAAAGAAAAACAACUAUAAAGAAUUCUGUAGUUGAUAUCAUUACCUAUUUUCAGCUAUGUGAGUCAGUGAGCUAUCACAUGGAUUUGCACAGAAAUAUCAAAGCAAAUCCCACUUCAAACCCACACCACUUCCCAAUAUAUACCCUCACUCAUCAAUUCCAACAAACCGAGUUAACAUAUGUUUGUCUGAAAUACAAGCGUAUAACAGAUCAGAACUACAGCAACAAUUAACUGUCUUAAAACAAAGACUAAUAGCUGAACUGAGAAGAAAUACGCAAUCACCAAAUGACAUUUGCUGACAUCAAUAAGAAGAGUCUGUAACAUACGCAGAGAUCGAAGGUGGCAAAUUUUUUUGCAAAAUUGGGCAAGAAGAUUCUAAAAAGACAGCGAUAGUAACUUGUAUAAAUAUUCUUUAGUAACAACGAUUGAAUCAGCUACAGCUGUCAUGAAAAGACUGAAAUCCAACAUAUUUCUUCAAUCUUAUAAACUUCCUGUGGUAUAAAUACGAGGUACCUCUGGAUUCGUGAGAGAAUCGUUAUUUGUAGCAGUCUGUAUUUUGAAACAUAAAGCCAGUUACUGUGGCAGGGCAAAACACAACUCAGGCUGUUAUAGGAUAUUUCCACUAAAUUGUGUCCCAGCAGAAGAUGAAGCUUUGACAAAAUUUCAUUUUUUUUUUCCAGAAUGUUCUAUAAUUUAUUGCACAGUGAUGUGGAAAAGCAACUGCUUGUCCAAUACUGGACAGCAGAGCAAGAAGACGUUGUAAUGUGGUAAAGCCAAUACUCCUAACAACAUAAGCAAUACUGAAAAUCAGAUCUUCUCACUUCUUGACUGUGCUCUUAUUUGAGCAAGAUCACACAACAAAACAAAUGAAAGAAAAUAAGUGAUGCUCACUGUGGCUUUUGUUGAGAAAUACUCUUAUCAACUGCCUUUGGUCUGCAGCUGAUCUAGCUGUGGAUGGGCUCAGAAGAGAGGAUAGCUGAAACCCUCCAAAGAUGGAAAUCCCAACGAGGGAGGCACACAUACCAUGUUAUUCAGGGACAAAAUGGACUGUGCUAUGCGGCUUCUUAAGAACCAGCUGGAGCUGUUCUGAAAGUCCCAUGCUACAAAUAAACUUAUCUCAGUACUGCAGGCAAUAGGUGCUGUAGAAAUAGUACUGCUGGGCAUGUUCCUCAACGAGGAGAUCAGGUUUCUGCUUCUGUCCUGGGACUCCAAAUACAGAAGUCAGUCACCAGUCCAGUGAUCACCUCAAUCACCUGCAUGCCUUAUAGCACUAUGUUUUGUUGUACCAGUUUGCUGUAUUCAUACUUUACAGUCUGAAACCUAGUGUCAGAUACUAGCUCCUAAGAUGUAUGUAUAUAUGAGUAUAUAAGAAGUGUGAGCAGUUGAUGAGAGGGGCUUGGCUAGGUUGGUUGAGAGCAGGGAGAAGUUCAGCUUAUUUUGCUAUGGAGAACAGACUGUGGAUGUGACAUGCCUCUAGAAGAUGCUCCGGGAGAAUAUAUUAAGAAAAGCUUCUCUAAAGUCACUGAAAAACUGAACAGAUGCAAUUGUCUACAGGGUUUAAGUAAGAGCUUAUUCAAGUUUCAAACAAAAAAGAUAAUGUGAAACUUCAGUUAAAAGGAGCUAUUUCCAAGAAUAGCAGAGAAGAACAACUCAGGCUGUUGUUUAUUUACUUGAAAAUAAUGGGCCCUGAUGUCUUUCUGUAGCAGUAAUAUCAGAGCUUUAAAAGAAACCUUGUUUUCUAACUUGCAUUUUUCUGAGAAAAGCAAACUUCAAGAGUUCUAAUCUAUUUGCACGAUCCAGAAACAAGCAGAAUAGAAUGCUGACUUCUGGUCAGGAGGUGUGCUUUGCAUGGCUUUUGCUUUACUGAAGAACAAAGCUGAAGCGAACCCUUUUGACUUAGGAGACUUCUACCUCAUGGAAAUUCUCAAGGAGAAAUCUCCUUCUGGUAAGAGAUCAUAAAAAAUCCACAAGCAACUAUGUCAGCCUCAUAGCAAAAGGCCUCAUAGAAUCAUUGAAUCACUAAGGCUGGAGACGAGAGCUCUGUAACACAUUUAUUGGUCAUGUUUCAGGAAGAACCUUAGCAUUGUCCAUUCAGAUUACCAAAAUGAUGACCCAAAAGUUGGACUCAACUCAUACUGAUGGCUAAAAUGUAAUGAAAAAAUUUGUUAUCUGCUCUACUGUUCCGGCCCCAAGAGAGCUUCACUCCAAACCCACAAAACCAGAGGUUCACAUUUACGUGGCUACAGCAUUAUUUACAUUUACCUGCAACUGCUCCAAACGCAUCCCAGAAGUGUCAGUGUCUUAAACAUGAGGUUCUGUUUACAGCAAUUUAAUUAAUUAUCACCAAUUUUCAAAUAAUCAGAUCUAAGUGCAGGCACUGAAGGCACCUGCUGGCCCCACCGCUGCCCGUCCCCUUGUCCCGAGGUGGGGAUGGCCCAGCUUGCUGCCAGCACAUGUCCCUGAACCUGCGGAACGGAUGCGUUUGCUCUUCUAAAGAUAUUUCUUAUUUUCAAGAUGUUCAUCUCCUGAAAGUUUUAGGGUCAAAAAUCAAUAGGCCAAUUACACUUCCGUCUGGUAAAUAACUGUGUCCAUUUUGCUGCAGGUUCAAUUAUCUUUGUGAUGCACUUCAUUCGCUCUUGCUGCUUAAUCCAUUAUUUUAUUAGAUACUUAAGACAUCCGUGUAAGACAGCUAAUAAGAGGAUCACUGUAAAUAAUUGGUGGCAACAUCUUCAUAUUAAAACUAAUUAAUAGAAAUGUGACAUUCGUGUCCUUUGGAAUUUGGCUCGCUUUCAACUUCUUGCUGACAGUACGAGCAAUCACUAAAAUAUACAUGGAGAUGCUUUGAGGUUUGUUAGAAACUCACUUUGCCUAUUUUACAUUUAUGCAUUGCUUAACAGGAAAUGAUCACUUCUGAAGUAAAAGCACAGAGGAUUCUGCUCCUGAGGGCCAUUGCAUAUCCCAGCCCCACACAGCCGAGAGCUCAGACGGGGGACCAGAGCGAUAGCAUCUCGCAGUACAGAUUCCAUAAUUAAUUUUAAUUCCUUUAAUUAAGUAUUUAGUCUUUGGGGAAGGAGUAUGAAAAAGUUGCUUCAUAAACUGACAAUGGGCAAUUGUUCUAAGUUUCUUAUCCUGCAGGCACACAGGAUAAUGAGAGCUAUAGAAAUAGUUGGGCAGAUUGAUUGCAUGGAGCAGAUAGGAAUCCCCUGGCACAGUCCUCUCAUAAGUUUUCAGAGUCACAGGCACCUCCCAGCAUUUCCAGUGAACAUCACUGUUCCCCCGUGUUGCAAGAAGUUAAACUAGCUUUGUCUGAGUGCAGCUACUGGGGGACAAAUAUGAGAACACUGAAAUGAAAGAAAUACAGAAGAAAAUGGACAAAUGAGACAGAAUUGCCACUAUUUUCAGCAAGACCAGUGCAGUUCAAAAUAAAAAUCUGGAGACAUCUGUAAUUUCAGAUUCAAGGGGAGAUCUUAAGAGAUUUAUAUCCAGAUGCAUUUUCCCUGCACAUGUGAAAGAAAUCUUUACAGAGUGACUCAGAAACUAUCCUGUAUGAUAUCGCGUGCAUGUGCCAGAUCAGGAGGUGGCAGUGGGAAAAUGGCCACUACUCACAUCUAUUGGACUCCUUGGCUUCAGUGUGUGGAGGCUCACUUCAGCACUACAGUUUCUCUGGAAAGACAAAUUCUCAUUUGAAGCCUUACAGCUUGGGUAGUUAAUGCGGCUGCCGACUUAACCUCAUCCCUUCAUCAAACAUUACAUCAACAAAGAGCAGAAGUUGGGGAAAUAAUGUUAUCAAAAGUCUAAUAUCAAAACUCACAAUACUUUUCCCAAACAUAUGUAAAAAUAAAAUGAUAUAAAAGAAAGCCAACAGAUGUAGUGUCAUAUGGACUUGCUUAAUGGCAAUACUUAGCCUUUCAAAAAAAGAUUUAUAUCUACAUUCACUACUAAAACCUGACAUUUGUAUUGAAUAAUUCAUAAUUUGUUGCUUUCUGAGCUUUGCUGCCUUCCUUAUAUGCAUGAAUCGAAGUAAUGUUAUCUCUGCUCUUAGGAAAGGAGAUCAAUCUGUACAUAUGCAGAUAUUUUUGUUGUUCUGUAGGGCAUAAAUACAUGUUUGCCUAAGCCAAUGCUAAAAAUUCCUCUUUGCCUAUAACAGAAAUGCUCUGUACAGAUUUAAUUUGCAACAUGACUGCACUUCCAACUAAUUCUCCCAGGAUUCUCCUAAGUAUUUUGGUAACAAUCACAUGUAGCUUGGACAUGUGUUCCCUUGCCUCCCUGUGCCUCAUUUUAAGACAAACUCACCACCCUUUACUCUUCUCAAAACUGCAAACAAGAUCUCUGCCAAGGCUCUUCCACCCUUCCACCUUUUACAGCUUCUCACCUCCCACUCUGCUCUGACCUCAGCACGGAAAGGAUUUGAAGCAUUUGAAGAUACCCUUGGAUUCAGGAUCUACACAGAACUUCAGCAAAGUGAGUGUCUAAGCAGGAGCCAACUUGCUGUUUUUGUUACUUUACUGUCCUGUUGUUUCUAGUACCAGCUUUGCAGAUAUUACAGACGCAAAUACCACACUUGUACUUUUAUCUCCUGAAGUUUGUACUUUUAAAAAGAUAAUUUUAAUUCUAAGGCAUUAUUGUCUAUUUCAACCAUUCUAUCAUAGCCAAGUUAUCAACCAUAAAGGUCAAGGGAACACUGUCUUUUUCUUGAUGCUUCAUCUGCAACUGAGAGAAGCAAACAGGGUGCUCUGGCUGACCUGCUGCUGCCCUCCCAGGCCAUUUGUCUUCUUUCCCAUUUUUCAAGGAAAAUUUUCUUAUUUAACUCAGACCAACAGAUAAAAUAGUGCAACAUCAAUUUUUCUGCUACCAUAGCACACGCUGUAGCACCUAAAACUUUCCUGCUUCUCUCUAGAUGGGAGUUCCUAGGAGUAAGUUCCUUCCUAAAGCUUGCAGAGCAGCCUGGGGCAGUCCCUGACUGAUUUGCACACCUGGAGACAGAGCCCUGUUCUGCAUCCUGCCCUGAAGACUUCACCCAGUGAACCAAUAGCCACAAACUCAAAGCACGGGUCUCUAAUAACAAGUCUUUCACCGUGGUUUCUUAUUUAUUUAUUUUUAUAUUUAUUUAUUUAAGUGCCUUCUCUAUUCCAGCUUAUACUGCUUUUAGCUCAGUUUCUACUUAAAAUAUCACAUACGUGGUCAGACUUUAAUUAUGCAAAAGGAGCCCUUGCAGCUUGUGCCAGCACAGCUUCAGCUCUUCAGAGCAGCACAGGACAAUCCCUCUGUUCAUGGAGCUCAGGGGGAUGUCUGUUAUUCUCCUCACUGCUUUAUGAGUAUUCCUGGUAACCCAUAAGGGUGUGUGAGCCCAUGCCUGGCUCGUAAGGGCCAAUAACCUUCAUAACUUAAAAAGCAAGUUAACAGAAAGGAUGUCAUGAUGUUAGCUGAAAUCCCAAGUGCUCCAUUUUCCUAAUUUCAUAGAACCAUGGAAUUAUGAAGGUUGGAAAAGUCCUCUGAGAUCCCCAUGCCCAACCCCACCCACCCCACCAUGCCCACUGCCCCCGUCCCUCAGUGCCACAUCCCCACGGCUCUGGGACACCUCCAGGUUACGAUGACCCCCCACUCCCUGGGCAGCUGUGCCAAUAUCCGAUCUGAAUUUGUAUAAAUGUCAUUUGUUAUAGCAUAAAUUAUUGAAUUUCUGGAAAGGAACAGCAAGCGUGAGACAAGCGGGUGUUGUCAGCAACUGAAACGAAGAACAGCUGUCCUGGGGUGGAAUCAACAGUAGCAGCGUAAGCAAGAUACUGAAAAAGAUUUGUGUCUAGAUAUUUUUAACUAUAGUUCAUUAUGUUGUUUUUUUCCACUCCAGGUUUCCUGCUUGAAUCCCCUUCACACACCUAACGCUUGUCACCUGCGCUGUAGCUCUGCUGUGUUCUGCAGUAACUGCCUUUCUCUGGGCUGGAACACAAAAGAAGACCCAGUGAAGCCAGUCACUGCUUCUAGGGGUGAAUGUUCACUUUUUGCUCUCUGAAGCAGAGAGGAACUUCCAGGACUGAUCACAGGUUAUGCUCAAGCCUGCAGCGCAGGGCAGCGGAGGGCGGUGGGACUUUCCAGGUCCAAGCAUGUGGGCAGCACGUGGCAGCAGCACCGACAACGUGGCAGCCAACAGUUCCAGGUCUGACCUCUGCAUCUGAGCCUGGAGCAGCCCCGUGAGAUGGGUCUGGGAUUACACCUCUCCGAGCGCUGGGAGCGUGCCCGUGUGUUCUGCAAAACCAAUCUGCAGCUGGCACCGAUCGCGUCGCUGGAGCCCCACUAACAGCCAGCGCGAUGCUCAAUGAC